This 71-nucleotide transfer RNA is filed under the name Marmota monax (woodchuck). Its description in RNAcentral is "tRNA.Ala". It matches the Rfam family "tRNA". Rfam says of the family: Transfer RNA (tRNA) molecules are approximately 80 nucleotides in length. The record is from RNAcentral. Lineage: Eukaryota; Metazoa; Chordata; Mammalia; Rodentia; Sciuridae.
GGGGUUGUGGCUCAGUGGUAGAGCAUACGCCUUGCACGUGUGAGGCACUGAGUUUGAUCCUCAGCACCACA